AGUGAACGCUGGCGGUAGGCCUAACACAUGCAAGUCGAACGGCAGCACAGUAAGAGCUUGCUCUUACGGGUGGCGAGUGGCGGACGGGUGAGGAAUACAUCGGAAUCUACUUUUUCGUGGGGGAUAACGUAGGGAAACUUACGCUAAUACCGCAUACGCCCUACGGGUGAAAGCAGGGGAUCGUCGCACCUUGUGCGAAUGAAUGAGCCGAUGUCGGAUUAGCUAGUUGGCGGGGUAAAGGCCCAGCAAGGCGACGAUCCGUAGCUGGUCUGAGAGGAUGAUCAGCCACACUGGAACUGAGACACGGUCCAGACUCCUACGGGAGGCAGCAGUGGGGAAUAUUGGACAAUGGGCGCAAGCCUGAUCCAGCCAUACCGAGUGGGUGAAGAAGGCCUUCGGGUUGUAAAGCCCUUUUGUUGGGAAAGAAAAGCAGCCGGUUAAUACCACGCUGUUCUGACGGUAACCAAAGAAUAAGCACCGGCUAACUUCGUG
RNAcentral lists this ribosomal RNA (492 nucleotides) under uncultured bacterium. Its description in RNAcentral is "partial 16S ribosomal RNA". It matches the Rfam family "Bacterial small subunit ribosomal RNA", at positions 29 to 507 of the family's 1533-position model. The record is from RNAcentral.